RNAcentral lists this ribosomal RNA (710 nucleotides) under uncultured bacterium. Its description in RNAcentral is "bacterial SSU rRNA". It matches the Rfam family "Bacterial small subunit ribosomal RNA", at positions 104 to 810 of the family's 1533-position model. The record is from RNAcentral.
GGNUGAGUAACACGUAUGUAACCUGCCCUCUGCAGGGGGAUAAGCGGAAGAAAUUCCGUCUAAUACCGCAUAAUACAAUUUGGAGACAUCUCCGGGUUGUCAAAGGAGUGAUCCGGCAGAGGAUGGACAUGCGGCGCAUUAGCUAGUCGGCGGGGUAACGGCCCACCGAGGCUACGAUGCGUAGGGGUUCUGAGAGGAAGGUCCCCCACACUGGUACUGAGACACGGACCAGACUCCUACGGGAGGCAGCAGUGAGGAAUAUUGGUCAAUGGGCGGAAGCCUGAACCAGCCAAGUCGCGUGAGGGAAGACGGUCCUAUGGAUUGUAAACCUCUUUUGCAGGGGAGCAAGGCGCGGUACGUGUACCGCGAAGGAGAGUACCCUGAGAAAAAGCAUCGGCUAACUCCGUGCCAGCAGCCGCGGUAAUACGGAGGAUGCGAGCGUUAUCCGGAUUUAUUGGGUUUAAAGGGUGCGCAGGCGGACUGUUAAGUCAGCGGUAAAAUGUCGGUGCUCAACACCGGCCGGCCGUUGAAACUGGCAGCCUUGAGUGAGCGAGAAGUAUGCGGAAUGCGUGGUGUAGCGGUGAAAUGCAUAGAUAUCACGCAGAACUCCGAUUGCGAAGGCAGCAUACCGGCGCUCAACUGACGCUCAGGCACGAAAGCGUGGGUAUCGAACAGGCUUAGAUACCCUGGUAGUCCACGCAGUAAACGAU